Molecule: ribosomal RNA, 446 nt
Filed under: uncultured bacterium
Lineage: Bacteria
Description: partial 16S ribosomal RNA
Rfam family: Bacterial small subunit ribosomal RNA
Source: RNAcentral
AACGAACGCUGGCGGCAGGCUUAACACAUGCAAGUCGAGCGCCUCGCAAGAGGAGCGGCAGAAGGGUGAGUAACACGUGGGAACAUACCCUUUACUACGGAACAACUCCUGGAAAAUGGAGCUAAUACCGUAUGUGCCCUUUGGGGAAAGAUUUAUCGGUAAAGGAUUGGCCCGCGUUGGAUUGGCUAGUUGGUGGGGUAAAGGCCUACCAAGGCGACGAUCCAUAGCUGGUCUGAGAGGAUGAUCAGCCACAUUGGGACUGAGACACGGCCCAAACUCCUACGGGAGGCAGCAGUGGGGAAUAUUGGACAAUGGGCGCAAGCCUGAUCCAGCCAUGCCGCGUGAGUGAUGAAGGCCUUAGGGUUGUAAAGCUCUUUCACCGAUGAAGAUAAUGACGGUAGUCGGAGAAGAAGCCCCAGCUAACUUCGUGCCAGCCGCCGCCGUAA